GGACGGCACAAAAGUCAGUGAGAAACCCACCACCACAUUCAAUCUUCUCUUUACAACAAAUUCACCACUCUUUCUACCCUUCUCUGCAGAUUUAAACUAGAGAAUUUCUCAUCAAUCAAUCGAUAAACCCCACCAGAAAAAUAUCUGAUUCAGAUCAAUCAUGGGUUCUCUCAAUUCACAGCCACCAUCCGAGGUUUGAUUUGAUAUCUCGGAGCAUUUUUAUCUCUCAUUGAAUUCAAAAUCCUUUCUGGGUUUGCCUCUGAUUUGUGUUUUCAAUCGAUGGCCACUGUUUAGGAUCUGCUGAUUUACAUGCUAUAAAAUCGUGAUAUAGUUUACUGGGUACUGGCUAUUUCUAGGGUUUUCACAUUCGAGUUGCUGCAAAAUUGAUCUUGCUGCUUUAUUCUGAUGCAUCAAAUUCUAUCUGAUCAAUUAUCAAAGGCUAUAUAUAUAUAAAACCAGAGAGAGAGAUUGCAGAAUCAAUAGAAUUUAGCUGUCUUUCUUGUAAGGAAGAAAGAUGCAAUCUAGAAGGCAAGGUGAUGAUUACGUGACACUAUCUCCAUCCUCAAAGCCACGUAAUCAACAUAGAUAUGAAGUAGGACACGACUCGUAUUCAGUGUCCCGUCGAGAUGCCCUGGAUCGGUCUCCUCGCGUGCAGAGGAGUUUGAGUCCGCACAGUAAGAUUGAUGGGUCUAGAAGGAUAUUACUAAGGGAAGGAAGAAGUGGUUCAAAUGAAAGGAGGGAAUAUGGUUGGCAUUUGGGUGCUGGAAGGUCUGACGAUGUCUGCUCAGGUUCACCUCCUUUUCCACAAGAGCACAGAAAGCCUCAGUUUGAUGAGGGUGUUGUGCAUAGGAAAUAUGAGUAUGCUGAUGAUAUCAAUUAUGAAGAUGGUAAAAGUAAUAGACUAAAGCAUGUUUAUGGGUAUGAUCAUCAUGCUGCAUCUUCUAGAAUUAGUAAAGAGAAGGAUUAUAGCGAAAACAGGUUUCCUGGUAAUGAUAGGCAUGUGACAAUAGGGCAAAACUCGAUGCCCAUGGAAGAUGGAAUUAUAAGAGGGUUGCGUCGAGCACCUCCAGAUUUCAUUCCUCCCCCAAGUUAUGGGAAAACUAGUGAGCAUCUACAGUUGCCAUCCCGCCACAUGGAUAUCAGCCAGUUUGAGAAUGAGAAACUUAGGUAUAGGGAGCCUAUAUCUCCAGAUAAGAUACCAGUAAUGGAAUUAUACAAAGGGGAAAACCCUGUGUUUUGCUCAAGGGAGGAUUCAUACACCAUGAACCCAUCUCCUCGCUUUAAGGGUUUUGGUAGCUCUCAAUCCAAAGAUUUUGCUGGCACAUCUUCAGGUGUUUCAAGGAGUGAGUUUCUGAGUUCUUUCAGGGAUUGUGUGCCCCUGUCUGCUUCUGAUGAAUAUCCAAGGAACAGCAUGAAACUCACAGAACCCUUGGAUUUAAGCACAUAUGGUCAAAGGUCAGCCGUAGAUUUAAGAAAUGUGGAAACUGGUAAGAGAAUUAUGACAAGUUUUCCGCAUGGUGUGUAUAGCCCAAACAGAAAAGAACAUGAUGAUUACCUUUACCCUAAAUCACAGGGAUUAGUGAAUGAAGAUGUGGUCUAUCCAUCUGAUGAAUUGCAUAGAAUGAUGCCACCACGUGCUCAGUUGGAUCAUGACGUAGCUCGAGCAGAUUUUGAGUAUGGAGAAUUGUCAAGAAUGAGUGUUAUGCACCCCAUUGAAGAAAACAUUGAUCCAACGCAGGAUUUUUACAGAAACAGAAGAAAUAACACCACAUGGGACCAUACUGUAGGCAAGCAGGCCGCCAUGGAGGACCUUAACUCAAGUAGAAUAUCAUAUGCACCAAAGCAUAGUGGGGAAUAUUUGGGUUCUGAAUAUUCUCGAGUUGAAUUUGGAAGGAGAGUCUCACGAGAUAAUGAGACAUCUCAUUUGGGCGUCACACAGGAUCAACAAACCUCACAUUUGAGAUCAAAUUAUGGGUUUGGAAGAGAUGCAGGUCCGCAGUUUGAAAAAGAUAGAUUACGUGAUCCAGUUAUGCCUAUGUAUGACUUGGAGAUGCAGAAAUUUUCUAUCAAAAGGCAGAGAAUGGAAGAUUUUCCCAUAUACAAGCCAUCUGAUAAACUGCUCAAAAGAAAUUACAGUGUGGAUGAUGAUUUAAAUUGUUGUGAUCCAAGAGGUAUUGUGUCAAGGAAACGGUAUGCACAGCUAGAGUGUAAGGAUGUUUAUGACAGUGGUGAGGAAUGGAUCGAGGAAAAUCCAAGUGCUUUAUACAGGACUCAGAGGUUUGACCACAAUGCGUGCAGAAAAGUUAAGAGAGAGUAUGAUGGGCAAGACCGUUAUGGAGAUUUUGCAUCUGAAGACUGGUUGUCUUCUCAAGAUUCUUUGGUACAUUCACAAAAGCAUUCUAAUAGACAUUAUAAGCCUAGUGUUAAAUAUAUGAAGGGUCAUCCAAGAUCUGGUUCUUCAAGCUGGUAUAACUCACACCAGCCUGAUAAAAGAAGUGGAAUUCACAUAAAGCACAAAACUUGGAAAAGAAAUGAAGAUUAUGACGAUAAUGAGCAGGUGAAUGAUGAUGAUCCAUCUGAAGGUUGGGUGAAUAUGGCAGACACUGAGCAAUGUGAGGAUUCUGAGGAAUUUAAGCAACUGGUUCAUGAAGCCUUUUUAGAUUAUUCUAAGAAAUUGAAUUUGAGCUUGGCGGUUCGAAGAAGAUACAAGGAGCAAGGAAAAGCUGGUAGUUUGUUCUGCAUUGUAUGUGGCAGAAGGUCUGUUUUCUUUCCCGUGUAUGCUUUUUAUGUGGAACACAUUUCAUAUUUUGAUUCAGGAGUUCCUAUUUAUACUCUUACAGCAGCAGACAGUUGAGCAAUUAUCAACUUAGAAAAUUUCUUUGUUGUGUUCCAUAUGGGAUUCUAUUAUAGCUACCUGUAUUGGUGGAUUUCAUGGUGGCUUGUUCUGGUAUGAAUCAUGCAAGGUGGAGCAAGAGCUUUUGGUGAACUCCAACUUCCAGAUAAAUAACAUAUGGAUGCAGAACUUUCAAGUGGUUUUAUUACAUAAAAUAUGCUUCAAUUGGCCUAUAUGAUUUUGUUAUCCAUCUUCUAUUGUAGCGUUUGUGUGUAAAUUUAACUGUCACUUGGUGAAAGGUUGUUGAUCAUGUGAUAUGGGUUUGCCAGUCUCAAACUUCUUGUAGGAAUGGAUAAUUAUAUAUAGAUGUCGUGGAGCAAGUUAAUCUAUUGGAAUGUAGGAGUUAGUUUAACCAACUGCAUUGCAACUAGGUCCCUUAUUUUUCAUGAAUAUCAUGUAGUAAACCAAGGAGAUCUUUUGAAAGUUGGGUAUCUCUGAGAUAUCCACCUUGUGUGGGUUAACUGUUGUGGUUUUUAUGAGUAGAUGGAGCCUAUGAUGGUGUUUUGAGUUUCAUAACAUUUCACAUGCGCAAUGAACUACUUACCGGAAUAUAUUAUAGCUAGUACAUUUUUGUUGCUGGGAUGUCAUUAUGCAGCUGGAAAGGCAAAGGACAAAAGUGGGGUGGGUCUAGUACACAAUGGGACUAUUGUUGUGGACAGGUCAGAAAGCUAAGAUUAAGGUUGCAGAUUCAUCUAAGAUAUUGCAAUGAAUGCAGAAGUUGAAUUUGAUUCUCUUUUCUUUUUUUUGUUUUGGAAUGCUAGUGUUUUUCAACAUGGUGUGAUCAUUUAUUUAUAUUAUAUGUACUUAGAGCCUCUAAUACUUUCAAUAGUGAAAAACCAAUAGUGCUUUUAAAAGCUUCCUUAUUUAUGUUUGUGGAUGGAUGUAGUGGUUGUUUUUCAAUUUCCUUUUAGUGUUGCUAUUAUUAUAGUUUCCGCUCCAGUUUUGAACAUUUGUAUGGUUGUAUUUUUACAGCUCAUCAAAGGAUUUCAUGGACACUCAACGCUUGGUAACUCAUGCUUUCAUGUCUCACAAGGUUGGAUUGAGAGCACAACACCUGGGUCUUCAUAAAGCAAUAUGCAUUUUGAUGGGGUGGAACACUUAUGUGCCUUGCGACAUGAGAACUUGGGUUCCAGAUGUCUUGCCUGAGGCAGAAGCUUGGGCUCAGAAGGAGGAUUUGAUGAUAUGGCCUCCACUUGUUAUCAUUCACAACAUUUCUAUGUCAAAUGUGAAUCCAGAACAACAGAAGGUCAUACCUAUUGAAGGGGUUGAAGCUUUUCUUAGAGGUGAGUAGCAACUUUUUUUUUUUUUGGUAUUCAGGAAAUUCAGGUGAGUUACAACUUCAACUAUUUAUUACAAUUGUGCCAUAAUUCAUAUUUGAGCGGCAUGUGAAAGUACACAUUCUUUCUGUUUAGGAAAAAUAUUUUAAACUUGUCAUUGAACAUGUUGGGAAAAUAAAAAGCAUAUAUCAUUUGAAAUCUUUGUUCUGUUUUUGAUUCUGUGGCAAUAUCUUAGGAUGCUUAAAUUUGAAAUAUGUGAACUGUUGGGAUCUCAACUACUAGGUGGACGGAAUUUUUUUCUCUGGCGCUCAUACAUUAAUCUAUGGUUUCUCUGAAUGAUGAUAGGUAAAGGUUUUGUUGGGGGAAAAAUCAAGGUAUGCCUAGGUAAGCCUGCUGACCAAAGUGUUAUAUUGAUAAAGUUUUUGGGCACAUUCACUGGACUUGGAAAUGCAGAGAGACUUCAUAAAUAUUUUGCUGAGAAUAAACAUGGGAGAGAAGAAUUUGAGCAAAAAACAUCCAACGCCAUUAAAAGCAGCAAUGGCUUUGAAGCAGAUUUGCAGGGAGACAAGUUGGAGGAGCGUCUUCUAUAUGGGUACAUGGGAAUUGCAGAUGACUUGGACAAACUCGACUUCAACACCAAGAAGUGGAUUUUGGUGAAGAGCAGGAAGGAUAUCCAAGAUCUGGAGAAUGCUCCUGUUAAAACUGAUGAUAGGUAGCAAUCUCAAUGGUGCAUUUAUAGGAGGAGGGCUCUGCCCUGCUCCACCUAGUCACUGAAAUUUCCAAGGAUCCCCGAUUCAACUUUCUUCAGGUUGGAUUCCUUGCUCUUCCUGCCAUUGGUAAGUACUAACAUGUUAUCAUGGAAGUAAUACAUGUUAUGGAUAAAAGAAGACUGGGGGGAAAAACAAUUGGUGGUUAAGCUGAAAAUUGUGUAAAAGUUUGCUUUAUCGUUUUUCCACUUGGCAUUUGAUAGCCGGAUACUUCUUCAAGUUAUGUACACAUAUCUAAUUUCUAAAGAUCUCUUUUAUGGGUAGAUUUGUGCAGUUGGUUGGUUUGGUUUUCUUUCGAAUCAAAUUGUAAAAAUAGAAAAACAAAAUAUAUUAUGC
This 5273-nucleotide unclassified non-coding RNA is filed under the name Hevea brasiliensis (rubber tree). Lineage: Eukaryota; Viridiplantae; Streptophyta; Magnoliopsida; Malpighiales; Euphorbiaceae. The record is from RNAcentral.